CUGGUUGAUCCUGCCAGUAGUCAUAUGCUUGUCUAAAAGAUUAAGCCAUGCAUGUCUAAGUAUAAACUGUUUUAUACAGGUGAAACUGCGAAUGGCUCACUAAAACAGUUAUUAUUUAUUUGAUGGUACCCAAUUACUACUCGGAUAACCGUGGUAAUUCUGGAGCUAAUACAUGCGUUGAAAGUCCUGACUUUUGUGGAAGGGCGGCAUUUAUUAGAUACAAAACCAUCUCGCGCUACUGCGUGAUUUUUUGGUGAUUCAUGGUAACUGAGCGAAUCGCAUAGCCUUGUGCUGGCGAUGGUUCAUUCAAGUUUCUGACCUAUCAGCUUUCGACGGUAGGGUAUUGGCCUACCGUGGCUAUGACGGGUAACGGGGAAUUAGGGUUCGAUUCCGGAGAGGGAGCCUGAGAAACGGCUACCACAUCCAAGG
RNAcentral lists this ribosomal RNA (429 nucleotides) under uncultured eukaryote. Its description in RNAcentral is "bacterial SSU rRNA". It matches the Rfam family "Eukaryotic small subunit ribosomal RNA", at positions 4 to 421 of the family's 1831-position model. The record is from RNAcentral.